Molecule: long non-coding RNA, 2224 nt
Organism: Xenia sp. Carnegie-2017
Lineage: Eukaryota; Metazoa; Cnidaria; Anthozoa; Malacalcyonacea; Xeniidae
Exons: 2
Source: RefSeq, a predicted model, not a curated record
AUGCAGCUGCAUCAGGUUUACAUGAAGUACACAUUUAUAAAUUCACCUAUUUACAAAUUUAUAAAUUCAGAACAUAUGAUUAUUAAGAUACUUGAUGGUUUACCCAAGCUAAGGAGCCAGAGCUUUCCCGAUAAGCAAGUUGCAGUAAAUAUAAUUCAAUCUGCCGUAUUAACGUACUUUGUACUCCUUACUCUACACGUAUAUGGAGACGGGGGGGACUGGGAAAAGCUGAGACGUGCCAAAAAAAGAAAUUUCUCGUUUACUUUUCAUAUAGAUAAAGUAUAAGUUGAGAAACAAGAUUUAUUAAUGAUACAUAAUGUCUUAGUCAUACAUAAAGAUUGAAAUGAAAUAACCAGUAAAUAGCAUCAAAUAUUUUGUUAAAAGAAUGUGCUGGCAGUAUCUUUUUCUCACUUCACAGACUUUAAAACGAAAGGAGAUCAGACAACAUAUGAAUGACACUCCAAUUAAUCACGUGAGCCUCUUGUUACGAUAUGUUAUGGCAUUUGUUGUACAGCUUGGUAACUUCGUACUACGUCUAAAGUUUACCACUUCAUUGCGAAGACUUGUUGAGCAAGUCACUGCUGUUCGUGCAUAUUACUUUAAAAAAUUUGUGAUGUUAGAUGGCAAAAUUACAGGUCUGGAAAGAAGAAUUGAGUAUCUCGAGGGUCGUGGUGGUAGCAAUAGUUAUAACACCCAGUUGUCCCCAGAGGUUUCUUUGUUGCGUGAAAGAAUUGCAACACUAGAGCGACAAGCCAGAGACGAUUUUUCCACUAUACAACGGUUUCGUGAGCGUUUAGAUCAAUUAGACAAAUCAAUAGUGAGAAACAUGGUAAAGAUUAUGAACCUCGAAGCACAACGUGAAGAGCGCGCACUGGGAUCAAAUCAUACACAGCUAUUAUGGUACGUUACUUUGGAGAAUAGACAACUUCAAUCGAAAGCGACAGGACGCCAUUAAUGAUGUUAAGAAUGCCUGGUACAGUCCACCAUUUUACAUUUCUCAAUAUGGUUACAAGAUGUGUGCUAAGAUCUAUAUGAAUGGUGAUAGUCGGGGAAAUGGAACUCAUUUAUCUUUCUUCUUUGUUAUCAUGUAAGGUAAAGCUAUUUUAGCAGUUUCUACUUAAGCUGCGUCAAAAAUUGGAGGUGGAUUUUCGUAGGUAUAAAAUAGGCUGUCCAAGAAUGUUUGGUAGCAUGCAGAUGAUGGCAAAAAUUGCGUUAAAAUUGAGAUAAUGUAAUUUGAUUGCUCUAGAGGCAUAAUAUCUAAGAAUACAGAAUACGUCACGUGACUCGCUGUGCUUUUUGGAAUAGAUAAGAUUAGAAGUUAGAUUCCCAGUUGGAACAAGUUGUUGAAUAAUGUAGAUUGUGAUAUGAAGAGUAUAAAGCCAAAGAUCUAUAUUUUCAAUUCACCGCAAAAGCAGACUAAAGCUUACAAUUGUUUGUGAGAUGCGAUACUUUUUAUUUUUUUUGAUCAUGUACGAAAAUAAAUGACGAAAGAAAGGAAAGGUGAUUACGAUGCUCUACAAACAUGGUCAUUUCAAAAGAAGAUCACAAUGAUGUUAAUAGCUCAAGGAAAUGGUGAUCACAUGAUUGAUGCUUUUCAUUCAGAUCCUCAAAGUUCCUUAUUUCAGGGACCAGUGUCUGAUUUAAAUCUAUUUGGAUUGCCACUUCUAAUUUCUCCGAUAGAGAGUUUAAGCAAUCUUCUGUUCAUUAAAGAGAAUACAAAGUUUAUUAAGUUAAUAGGCAAACGCAACCCGACCUAAACAUGUUACAAACAACUCACCUAGCUCUUUCAUGUAAUUUUUAGUUGUCAAUACAAAACGCUAUUUGUUGUAAAGCACUCAAUAGUGUUUAUAUAAGUUUUUCUUGUUUGCUUCUGGUCAGUAUAUCCACAGUAAAGGAAUAUACAACAGUAGGGGCACUUCGCUGUGCAAUUGGCUGCUGUAUAUUUAAUGAGUUUACUGGCUGCCCUUUGCCAUAUCGUCAAUCCAAUUGGUCAAAGAAUUCAAUUUACUGGCUGCCAAUAUGGUAAUCACAUGCGUAAUAAGAUAUGCGUGGCACGAAAACACUCAGUACAGUGGCCCUACUCUAUGUUCUCUAUACCGUAGCAUUGUUAUGAAGUAUGUCCCCAUGUUUACUUUGUAACACGGGCUGAAAUGUACGUUUGGUCAUAUCCUAUCUACAGUUUUGUACUUUUAUCAUUUAAUUUCAUUAGAAUCGAAUUUUUCUA